GAUGAACGCUGGCGGCGUGCCUAAUACAUGCAAGUCGAGCGAACAGACGGGAGUGCUUGCACUCUCUGACGUUAGCGGCGGACGGGUGAGUAACACGUGGGUAACCUACCUAUAAGACUGGGAUAACUUCGGGAAACCGGAGCUAAUACCGGAUAAUAUUUAGCUUCGCAUGAAGCAAUAGUGAAAGACGGUUCUGCUGUCACUUAUAGAUGGACCCGCGGUGUAUUAGCUAGUUGGUGAGGUAACGGCUCACCAAGGCAACGAUACAUAGCCGACCUGAGAGGGUGAUCGGCCACACUGGGACUGAGACACGGCCCAGACUCCUACGGGAGGCAGCAGUAGGGAAUCUUCCGCAAUGGACGAAAGUCUGACGGAGCAAUGCCGCGUGAGUGAAGAAGGUUUUCGGAUCGUAAAACUCUGUUGUAAGGGAAGAACAAGUACGUUAGUAACUGAACGUACCUUGACGGUACCUUACCAGAAAGCCACGGCUAACUACGUG
This 499-nucleotide ribosomal RNA is filed under the name uncultured bacterium. RNAcentral describes it as "partial 16S ribosomal RNA". It matches the Rfam family "Bacterial small subunit ribosomal RNA", at positions 28 to 507 of the family's 1533-position model. The record is from RNAcentral.